Molecule: ribosomal RNA, 305 nt
Filed under: uncultured bacterium
Lineage: Bacteria
Description: bacterial SSU rRNA
Rfam family: Bacterial small subunit ribosomal RNA
Source: RNAcentral
UUACCUACGGGGGGCCGCAGUAUUUCAUCUUUCUCCCUUUUUUCAACCCUUAAGCAGCAACGCCGCGUGGAGGAUGAAGGUUUUAGGAUCGUAAACUCCUUUUGUAAGAGAAGCUUAUGACGGUAUCUUACGAAUAAGCACCGGCUAACUCCGUGCCAGCAGCCGCGGUAAUACGGAGGGUGCAAGCGUUACUCGGAAUCACUGGGCGUAAAGAGCGCGUAGGCGGGUGGUCAAGUCAGAUGUGAAAUCCUGUAGCUUAACUACAGAGCUGCAUUUGAAACUGAUCAUCUAGAGUAUGGGAGAGG